UACGAACUGUGCGAACGUUAUUCGGAAUCACUGGGCUUACAGGGUGCGUAGGCGGCCUUUCAAGUCAGGUGUGAAAGCCCUCGGCUCAACCGAGGAACUGCGCUUGAAACUGAAGGGCUCGAGUCAGCUAGAGGUGCACGGAACUUCCAGUGGAGCGGUGAAAUGUGUUGAUAUUGGAAGGAACACCGGAGGCGAAAGCGGUGCACUGGGGCUGGUCUGACGCUGAGGCACGAAAGCGUGGGGAGCAAACAGG
RNAcentral lists this ribosomal RNA (253 nucleotides) under uncultured bacterium. Its description in RNAcentral is "partial 16S ribosomal RNA". It matches the Rfam family "Bacterial small subunit ribosomal RNA", at positions 524 to 776 of the family's 1533-position model. The record is from RNAcentral.